RNAcentral lists this ribosomal RNA (860 nucleotides) under uncultured bacterium. Its description in RNAcentral is "bacterial SSU rRNA". It matches the Rfam family "Bacterial small subunit ribosomal RNA", at positions 468 to 1334 of the family's 1533-position model. The record is from RNAcentral.
ACUGCCGGUAGGGUACGAAUAAGCAUCGGCUAACUCCGUGCCAGCAGCCGCGGUAAUACGGAGGAUGCAAGCGUUAUCCGGAUUUAUUGGGUUUAAAGGGUGCGCAGGUGGUUGAAUAAGUCAGUGGUGAAAGUCUGCCGCUUAACGGUAGGAUUGCCAUUGAUACUGUUUGACUUGAGUUUAGGUGAGGUAGGCGGAAUGUGUAGUGUAGCGGUGAAAUGCAUAGAUAUUACACAGAACACCGAUUGCGAAGGCAGCUUACUAAUCUACAACUGACACUGAGGCACGAAAGCGUGGGGAUCAAACAGGAUUAGAUACCCUGGUAGUCCACGCUGUAAACGAUGAUCACUCGCUGUUUGCGAUAUACAGUAAGCGGCUAAGCGAAAGCGAUAAGUGAUCCACCUGGGGAGUACGAUCGCAAGGUUGAAACUCAAAGGAAUUGACGGGGGCCCGCACAAGCGGAGGAACAUGUGGUUUAAUUCGAUGAUACGCGAGGAACCUUACCUGGGCUUAAAUGGGGAGUGACAGCUGGCGAAAGUUGGUUUUCUUCGGACACUCUUCAAGGUGCUGCAUGGUUGUCGUCAGCUCGUGCCGUGAGGUGUCGGGUUAAGUCCCAUAACGAGCGCAACCCUUACUGUUAGUUGCCAGCGGGUAGAGCCGGGAACUCUAACGGGACUGCCACCGUAAGGUGAGAGGAAGGUGGGGAUGACGUCAAAUCAGCACGGCCCUUAUGUCCAGGGCUACACACGUGUUACAAUGGCCGGUACAAAGGGCAGCUACACCGCGAGGUGAUGCUAAUCUCGAAAGCCGGUCUCAGUUCGGAUCGAAGUCUGCAACCCGACUUCGUGAAGUUGGAUUCG